CUUAUUACCAAUGAUAAGUUUUCAAAAGGUCGGACCCAAUCAAAUUUAGUUCCUAACUGUAUUAAUUCUUAUUUUUUAUUGAUUUUAAAAUAUUUAUUUUUUUAUAGGAGUUGCAAAAAUAAAGAAAUAAAUUUUGGACAUAGGAGGAAAAAUAAUAAUAAUAAUAAUUAAAAAAAAAAAAAAAAGGAAGCAAAGAGUUCGUGAAAAGAGGUGCUGCACACAUUUGAAGGCUGGCUUGGACGCUCACGGCAAAAAGAAAAGGAAACGGAAAAGGUAAAGAUAAAUACGAAAAGAAAGAAAGAAAAGAAGAUGUGUACGAGAAAGGAAACUAGUUUUUCAACUCUAUAAAUAAACAAGAACCAGACUGGACAAGGGCACGCCGAACGGUGAAGAGAAAUACCUAGCGUCGCAAAGCUUUUUGGACAGAGAGAAAAUUGGAGUUGGAGAGGACAUACCAUCUGGAGAGACUUGGCCUUUAGUCUGUCCCACGACCCACCUCACUAUGAAUUCGGAUUAUUUUUGGGGGCUUGGCCCGUCUCCAAUAUCAACGGGAUAAUCAUCUUUAGAAUGCAGGAUAUUUGGAAACUUGGAAAAGUGAAGAUGACCUACCUUGUAGUUACUAGUUGUGGUAGUUUAACUUAAAAUUGCUUAAUUAUGAUAUUUUUGUAGCUUUUUUUAUUUGGUUGUGGUGUGGUUGUGGAAAAUGACUAUGUGGUGGAUUGUCAUUGUGGACUAUGUAGUGGUUUAGUUAAUGUGGACCAAUGGGAGGGAGUUGAUAUAUGUGAAGGGUAGUCAAAGUUGUCAAGCUGAUUUGUUGUUGGACUCUUUACCCUUGGAGAUGAUGGCUGGCAAAUGGGUCUAUUGGCUAAUGGUCCUUUUGAUCAUUUGUUAUAUUCAACUACAAAUAGUGUGUUAGUAUGCAUUGUCAUAUUAUGUUGUAUAAUUGUGUUCUAAUUGUUAUGAUUGAUGGCUAUGCACUAAUGAGUUAGUACUCUCUAUUAGAUAAUUGAUGGAUUUAGAUUAUGUGUUAUAAUUAGAUUAUGGGUUUAGAAUAUCGUAAUUGGGCUCCAACCUUAUUAGGAAGUAUCAACUUUCGACUCUAGCUUCGAUGCUUUGGAAUCGAGUCGGAGUGGGCUCCAUCAGAAUCGAAGCCCAACCCUAAUAUACUUCCCAUUAAUUUGGUAUGUUUUACUUCUCUCAUCCAUGACUAAGUGGGGCUAUUCGAAGUCAGUUUGAUUAAAAUUAAACUUGACUAGAUUUCUUAUUAUUAAAUAGACUGUACGUGAACAUAAAGUUAAAUUCAAUUAUUAAAUGAUAAAAACUCAUAAAACUCUUGUAUUGCAUUAAAAUACCUUGGAACUAUAUUCAAUUUGAUAUACAUGAUAGAAUUACUAAGGCUCUGUGUGGUGCCAAAUUGUUACAAUGCUCUUCGGUAUUCAACAGCUCACAAUCAUAAAUAUAAAAGAGCUGCCAAAAGACGAGGAGACAAGAAAACCCUUUACACAAAAAAUUAAGAUUAUCAUUGAGCUUUUCCUUCUCUUCCACACUUCUCACGUUGUUAACAUUACGGUCACGAUUUCCAAAGAACGGAAACAGAAAGGGACCCAAAAAGUAUUGAGAUAACUCUUAACCCAUCUAACUCAUCCUUGAGCUGUUUCUUCUUCCCCACCACUUUCUUUUCAAGACAGUACCAUCUUCAUUUCCAAGCUUAUGCAAAAUUACCUUUGUUUCCCUUAGUCUUGCCCCAUAAUCCUUCUUCCAAGCCUCAAACAUCUGCUUCAACCUCCUAAGCUCCCGGUCUGGAUUCAAAUUUGCAUCGACUUGACCAGAUUUUACCUCCACCAAGAACUUGCCAUCAUCACCAAAUACUUGACUCCUCUGCUCAAAUUCUUCAGACAACCGGUUUAUUACACUUAAACUGGCACUCAUUGGCCUCAGCCCAUUGCUCUCAGUUUGCUUAUGAUUACUACCCAUUUCCGAGCUGUAGUCUCUGUCAUCACUUGCAUUUACUGAUGCAUCAGAGUUUCUUCCAGAAUCAUCAAUGACUAGGCUCUUCUUUGCAAUGGAGAUGCUAGAUUGUAGGGAUCUCAUUUGCUUCUGCCACACUUCUUCCAUGGAUUUCAUUUUCAACUCAUAUUCAGACCAGCGACUCUCAUACUGUUGGAGACGCUGGUUAAGGAUAUCAUUCUCCUCUUCUUUUUCUCUUAGAGCAGCCUCGGCCUUGAGAACUCGGCGCUGCAAUUCAGCAAGGAAAGAAGACUUCACCAGCACCUCGUCUGACUCGUUAGCCUGUUUCGGAUUCAUACUUGUAAACUCUUGAAUUAAGAAAGAAACAUGGGGUACUCCAAAAAGCAUUUCAUGCAAAGUCUUAUAUUAUACUAGAACACCAUCAAGAGCCAAGUUGUCCAUACAAGAUUAGCAAACAUUUUUAUGCGGAGAGUAGUGAUUCCAUGUGAUUUUCUUUCUUAGGGAUAAAAAAUUGAUCCACAUAAAUGGGAUCUUAAUAUCAAGUAUUUCCUUUGGUGAACAACAUGGUAGCAUAAAGGGAGAUAAAGAAUGGCAAA
Long non-coding RNA from Carya illinoinensis, 2564 nucleotides. RefSeq lists it as uncharacterized. NCBI's taxonomy places the organism in Eukaryota, Viridiplantae, Streptophyta, Magnoliopsida, Fagales, Juglandaceae. The transcript is spliced from 2 exons. The record is from RefSeq and is a predicted model, not a curated record.